AUCCAGAUGACGAUUCCCAAAUGGGACGAAAUGCGCGUUAUCCUGGAU
Molecule: non-coding RNA, 48 nt
Filed under: Trichobilharzia regenti
Lineage: Eukaryota; Metazoa; Platyhelminthes; Trematoda; Strigeidida; Schistosomatidae
Source: RNAcentral